AGGUUGGCUUAGAAGCAGCCAUCCCUUGAACGAGUGCGUAACAGCUCACUGGUCAAGUCGUCAUGCGCCGACAAUGUAACGGGGCUAUGUUGUGUACCGAAGCUACGAAUAUUUUUAAUAUGGUAGACGAACAUUCCGUAAGCUAAUGAAGGUGUAUCGUGAGGUAUGCUGGAGGUAUCGGAAGAGAAAAUGCAGGCAUGAGUAACGAAAAAGGGGGUGAGAGUCCCCCUCGCCGAAAGCCGAAGGUUUCCUGGGUAAAGGUCGUCUUCCCAGGGUUAGUCGGCACCUAAGCCGAGAUCGAAAGAUGUAGGCGAUGGACAACGGGUUCAUAUUCCCGUACCUUUGUAUGACUUCAAGUGGAGUGACGCAUGAGGUGAAAUCCGGCUGGGCGACGGUUGUCCCAGUAUAAGCAAUAAGCCGCUAAGGCAUGUAGGCAAAUCCGCAUGCUAAGGUAAGUUGUUACAUCGAGCUGAGCUACGGCAAUGCGAAGCGGGUUGAAUCACGGUGACAAGAAAUAGCUUCUCAGUUAUAUCAUACAGAGACCGUACCGUAAACCAACACAGGUCGGCAAGAUGAGUAUUCUCAGGCGCGCGGGAGAACUCGCGUUAAGGAACUCGGCAAAAUACACACGUAACUUCGGGAUAAGUGUGGCCUCUGAGGGAUCGCAAGAUUUUGAGGAGGUUGCAGAUAAGAGACUCAGGCGACUGUUUACCAAAAACAUAGGUCUCUGCUAAGCAGUAAUGCGCAGUAUAGGGACUGACACCUGCCCGGUGCUGGAAGGUUAAGAGGAGCGGUUAGCGUAAGCGAAGCUGCAAAUUGAAGCCCCAGUAAACGGCGGCCGUAACUAUAACGGUCCUAAGGUAGCGAAAUUCCUUGUCGGGUAAGUUCCGACCUGCACGAAUGGCGUAACGAUGGCCACACUGUCUCCACCCGAGACUCAGUGAAAUUGAAAUGAGUGUGCUGAUGCACCCUACCCGCUGUUAGACGGAAAGACCCCGUGCACCUUUACUGCAGCUUUGCAUUGAGUUUUGAAUAGGUUUGUGUAGGAUAGGUGGGAGGCGAUGAAGCCGAGGCGCCAGCUUCGGUGGAGCCAUCCUUGAAAUACCACCCUGAUUUAUUUGGAACCCUAACCUAGCCCCGUUAUCCGGGGCGGGGACCAUGCAUGGCGGGCAGUUUGACUGGGGCGGUCUCCUCCCAAAGAGUAACGGAGGAGCGCAAAGGUAUGCUUCGCUCGGUCGGAAAUCGAGCUGGACGUGCAAUGACAAAAGCAUGCUUGACUGCAAGAGUGACGGCUCAAGCAGGUGCGAAAGCAGGUCAUAGUGAUCCGGUGGCGCUUUAUGGAAGGGCCAUCGCUCAACGGAUAAAAGGUACGCCGGGGAUAACAGGCUAAUUCCUCCCAAGAGUCCACAUCGACGGAGGAGUUUGGCACCUCGAUGUCGGCUCAUCACAUCCUGGGGCUGUAGCAGGUCCCAAGGGUAUGGCUGUUCGCCAUUUAAAGUGGUACGUGAGCUGGGUUUAGAACGUCGUGAGACAGUUCGGUCCCUAUCUGCAGUGGGCGCUGGAAAUUUGAAGGGAUCUGCUCCUAGUACGAGAGGACCGGAGUGGACGAACCUCUGGUGUACCGGUUGUCGCGCCAGCGGCAUUGCCGGGUGGCUAUGUUCGGAAUGGAUAACCGCUGAAAGCAUCUAAGUGGGAAGCCAACCCUGAGACGAGAUUUCCCGAGGGCUUGACCCUCCUGAAGACCCCUUGAAGACGACGAGGUUGAUAGGUCGGAUGUGGAAGUGCGGCAACGCAUUAAGCUAACCGAUACUAAUUGGUCGUGCGGCUUGGUUCC
RNAcentral lists this ribosomal RNA (1834 nucleotides) under Halisarca caerulea. Its description in RNAcentral is "bacterial LSU rRNA". It matches the Rfam family "Bacterial large subunit ribosomal RNA", at positions 1098 to 2925 of the family's 2925-position model. The record is from RNAcentral. Lineage: Eukaryota; Metazoa; Porifera; Demospongiae; Chondrillida; Halisarcidae.